This 663-nucleotide ribosomal RNA is filed under the name Streptomyces atrovirens. Its description in RNAcentral is "bacterial SSU rRNA". It matches the Rfam family "Bacterial small subunit ribosomal RNA", at positions 212 to 885 of the family's 1533-position model. Lineage: Bacteria; Bacillati; Actinomycetota; Actinomycetes; Kitasatosporales; Streptomycetaceae. The record is from RNAcentral.
CCGGCGGUGCAGGAUGAGCCCGCGGCCUAUCAGCUUGUUGGUGAGGUAAUGGCUCACCAAGGCGACGACGGGUAGCCGGCCUGAGAGGGCGACCGGCCACACUGGGACUGAGACACGGCCCAGACUCCUACGGGAGGCAGCAGUGGGGAAUAUUGCACAAUGGGCGAAAGCCUGAUGCAGCGACGCCGCGUGAGGGAUGACGGCCUUCGGGUUGUAAACCUCUUUCAGCAGGGAAGAAGCGAAAGUGACGGUACCUGCAGAAGAAGCGCCGGCUAACUACGUGCCAGCAGCCGCGGUAAUACGUAGGGCGCGAGCGUUGUCCGGAAUUAUUGGGCGUAAAGAGCUCGUAGGCGGCUUGUCGCGUCGGUUGUGAAAGCCCGGGGCUUAACCCCGGGUCUGCAGUCGAUACGGGCAGGCUAGAGUUCGGUAGGGGAGAUCGGAAUUCCUGGUGUAGCGGUGAAAUGCGCAGAUAUCAGGAGGAACACCGGUGGCGAAGGCGGAUCUCUGGGCCGAUACUGACGCUGAGGAGCGAAAGCGUGGGGAGCGAACAGGAUUAGAUACCCUGGUAGUCCACGCCGUAAACGGUGGGCACUAGGUGUGGGCGACAUUCCACGUCGUCCGUGCCGCAGCUAACGCAUUAAGUGCCCCGCCUGGGGAGUACGG